UCCCUGAUGGCUCAGAUGGUAAAGAAUCUGCCUGUAAUGCAGGAGACUUGGGUUCGGUUCCCGGGUUGGGAA
Molecule: transfer RNA, 72 nt
Filed under: Bos taurus (domestic cattle)
Lineage: Eukaryota; Metazoa; Chordata; Mammalia; Artiodactyla; Bovidae
Also listed under: 4 other names
Rfam family: tRNA
About the family: Transfer RNA (tRNA) molecules are approximately 80 nucleotides in length.
Source: Rfam by way of RNAcentral